RNAcentral lists this non-coding RNA (63 nucleotides) under Gammaproteobacteria bacterium. Its description in RNAcentral is "Fluoride sequence". It matches the Rfam family "Fluoride riboswitch aptamer (crcB RNA motif)". The record is from RNAcentral. Lineage: Bacteria; Pseudomonadati; Pseudomonadota; Gammaproteobacteria.
UUUCUGAAAGGAAAUGGCAUUCUUCCUUGAACCGUCCCAUGGACUGAUGAUGCCUGCGAGUUU